GGGUUGUGAGGUUAAGCGACUAAGCGUACACGGUGGAUGCCCUGGCAGUCAGAGGCGAUGAAGGACGUGCUAAUCUGCGAUAAGCGUCGGUAAGGUGAUAUGAACCGUUAUAACCGGCGAUUUCCGAAUGGGGAAACCCAGUGUGUUUCGACACACUAUCAUUAACUGAAUCCAUAGGUUAAUGAGGCGAACCGGGGGAACUGAAACAUCUAAGUACCCUGAGGAAAAGAAAUCAACCGAGAUUCCCCCAGUAGCGGCGAGCGAACGGGGAGCAGCCCAGAGCCUGAAUCAGUAUGUGUGUUAGUGGAAGCGUCUGGAAAGGCGCGCGAUACAGGGUGACAGCCCCGUACACAAAAAUGCACAUGCUGUGAGCUCGAUGAGUAGGGCGGGACACGUGGUAUCCUGUCUGAAUAUGGGGGGACCAUCCUCCAAGGCUAAAUACUCCUGACUGACCGAUAGUGAACCAGUACCGUGAGGGAAAGGCGAAAAGAACCCCGGCGAGGGGAGUGAAAAAGAACCUGAAACCGUGUACGUACAAGCAGUGGGAGCACGCUUAGGCGUGUGACUGCGUACCUUUUGUAUAAUGGGUCAGCGACUUAUAUUCUGUAGCAAGGUUAACCGAAUAGGGGAGCCGAAGGGAAACCGAGUCUUAACUGGGCGUUAAGUUGCAGGGUAUAGACCCGAAACCCGGUGAUCUAGCCAUGGGCAGGUUGAAGGUUGGGUAACACUAACUGGAGGACCGAACCGACUAAUGUUGAAAAAUUAGCGGAUGACUUGUGGCUGGGGGUGAAAGGCCAAUCAAACCGGGAGAUAGCUGGUUCUCCCCGAAAGCUAUUUAGGUAGCGCCUCGUGAAUUCAUCUCCGGGGGUAGAGCACUGUUUCGGCAAGGGGGUCAUCCCGACUUACCAACCCGAUGCAAACUGCGAAUACCGGAGAAUGUUAUCACGGGAGACACACGGCGGGUGCUAACGUCCGUCGUGAAGAGGGAAACAACCCAGACCGCCAGCUAAGGUCCCAAAGUCAUGGUUAAGUGGGAAACGAUGUGGGAAGGCCCAGACAGCCAGGAUGUUGGCUUAGAAGCAGCCAUCAUUUAAAGAAAGCGUAAUAGCUCACUGGUCGAGUCGGCCUGCGCGGAAGAUGUAACGGGGCUAAACCAUGCAC
RNAcentral lists this ribosomal RNA (1161 nucleotides) under Escherichia coli. RNAcentral's name for it is "partial 23S ribosomal RNA". It matches the Rfam family "Bacterial large subunit ribosomal RNA", at positions 1 to 1194 of the family's 2925-position model. The record is from RNAcentral. Lineage: Bacteria; Pseudomonadati; Pseudomonadota; Gammaproteobacteria; Enterobacterales; Enterobacteriaceae.